GGCAGCAGUAUGUAGGAGGGAGGGUCCUAGGUGUGAGAAGUGUGCAGAGGGGCAUGAGACAGCAGUAUGUAGGAGGGAGGUUCCUAGGUGUGAGAAGUGUGCAGAAGGGCAUGUGGCAGCAGUAUGUAGGGAGGUUCCUAGGUGUGAGAAGUGUGCAGAGGGGCAUGAGACAGCAGUAUGUAGGGGGGAGGUUCCUAGGUGUGAGAAGUGUGCAGAAGGGCAUGAGACAGCAGUGUGUAGGAGGGAGGGUCCUAGGUGUGAGAAGUGUGCAGAAGGGCAUGUGACAGCAGUGUGUAGGAGGGAGGGUCCUAGGUGUGAGAAGUGUGCAGAGGGGCAUGUGGCAGCAGUAUGUAGGAGGGAGGGUCCUAGGUGUGAGAAGUGUGCAGAGGGGCAUGAGACAGCAGUAUGUAGGGAGGUUCCUAGGUGUGAGAAGUGUGCAGAAGGGCAUGUGGCAGCAGUAUGUAGGAGGGAGGUUCCUAGGUGUGAGAAGUGUGCAGAGGGGCAUGUGGCAGCAGUAUGUAGGGAGGUUCCUAGGUGUGAGAAGUGUGCAGAAGGGCAUGUGGCAGCAGUAUGUAGGAGGGAGGUUCCUAGGUGUGAGAAGUGUGCAGAA
Long non-coding RNA from Oncorhynchus tshawytscha (Chinook salmon), 610 nucleotides. The record is from Ensembl. NCBI's taxonomy places the organism in Eukaryota, Metazoa, Chordata, Actinopteri, Salmoniformes, Salmonidae.